UAUUCCUACGGGAGGCAGCAGUAGGGAAUCUUCCACAAUGGACGAAAGUCUGAUGGAGCAACGCCGCGUGAGUGAAGAAGGGUUUCGGCUCGUAAAGCUCUGUUGGUAGUGAAGAAAGAUAGAGGUAGUAACUGGCCUUUACUUGACGGUAAUUACUUAGAAAGUCACGGCUAACUACGUGCCAGCAGCCGCGGUAAUACGUAGGUGGCAAGCGUUGUCCGGAUUUAUUUGGCGUAAAGCGAGUGCAGGCGGGUCAAUUAAGCUUAUGUGGAAACCCUUGGGCUCAACCGAGGAAU
This 296-nucleotide ribosomal RNA is filed under the name uncultured bacterium. Its description in RNAcentral is "partial 16S ribosomal RNA". It matches the Rfam family "Bacterial small subunit ribosomal RNA", at positions 334 to 621 of the family's 1533-position model. The record is from RNAcentral.